Molecule: long non-coding RNA, 4774 nt
Organism: Cavia porcellus (domestic guinea pig)
Lineage: Eukaryota; Metazoa; Chordata; Mammalia; Rodentia; Caviidae
Exons: 3
Source: RefSeq, a predicted model, not a curated record
CGGCCCCGCCCCGUCGUGAGCACCGCCCCUUUAACCCUUGCCUCGCCGGUGGCCGUAAGCCUUCGCAGGUUCCUUAGCAGCAGCGGCUGCUACCCACAGGUCGGAAAGUGAGGUCGGGUCAGCGAGACAACUCAGCCGUCCUGUAGCCUUUUUCAGUAGCCUCUUCCCGCCACUCCUCGGCUGUGCGCCUCCGCGCCCUCUCUCCUGGGUCCGUGCCCUAGGUGCCGCCGCUCCGCUCGUGGACCCCUCUCCCCGUUGCAGCCCAGGGUUCUGUGCCAGCGGACCAGACCCACGUCUCUCUAGACAAAGCUGGUGUCUCCUGCACAAGUCCGAGUACUAGAAAUGGGUCUGGAUAACCUGAGAACUCGGAAGAAGGUGAUGUCCUUUUAUGGCAGUUGCGGCAAGGAUCGUUCUAAAUACAGGAAUUUAGGAGAUGGGUGAGCGUCACCUCACCUGCCUUACAGAGGUCUGCAGAGCACCGGUGGGGAAGAAACCAAAUAUUACGUUGAAAGCUGCAGCCAUUCGGCAAAGGGAAGUGCCACCAUAAGAUGCUCAGCUCUGGGAAGGCAAGGACCUUGGCCAUCUUGUUCAUCAUAGAACCAGAACUAAUGGGUACCACAGUGUCUAUCAUAUGGCAUGAAAAUGCUGGCCUACAAAGCUCACCUCUAAAACAUCUGAAAACAGGAGACCCGUGGAAAAGAACUCCAAGGAUGCCAAAGAGGAAAAGGCAUAUAGGAGAAAGUGGGUAGAGCAGAAUGGGUAUGAUCAUGUGGACUGAGAGGAGGGGAGGGCAGUCGAGGUGGGAAGCAAAGGCCCUGAGGUAGGACUGCCAGGGACGGAUCUGAGAACUUAAGGUUCUACUGAGCAGUUUAGAGAGCUUGAGAAUUAAAAUGAGUGUUUUCCAUGUGAGGUGGUACACAAUUAAAUCCCCAGCACUCAGGAGGCUAAGGCAAGGAAGAGUACAAGUUUGAAAACGCUCAACCUGGACAUCUUAGUGACUCAAUGAGACUCUGUCUCAAGAUAAAAAGAAAUAAAAUGUAGCUUAGUGCAAAAGUCCUAGGUUCAAAACCCGGUACCACAAAAGUAAAUAAAAUAAAAAGGCAUCAUCUUCUCUAGGGACUGGGAGUCCUAAGCAAACACAAAGGGACACGUAUCCUAUUUACUCUUUAGCUCUGGCAUGAAAGCCUCCUCAGGUGCUGCUCCAUUUCUCCAGCCAUCCAGGGUCAGAUCUAGACCCUAAAAUGGUGGGACUCAGCAUUGCAGGCUGUCCAAGGCCCGAGCCCACCAAUGUGGGGUCUCCAAGGCAGGAGGAAGGGCUGAAAUUUGGGGGAAGGCAGGAGCUGGAGGCGCAGCCAUUCCCACAGGCACAGAGCCACCCGAAGUUUCAACACUUCCUCCGGAAAUUCUCUCAUCUUCAAAAAGCUCCUAGCUUCCCUCUGAACUUUUGCUAGCCCGAGAUAGCCUGCCGAUUUCUGACUUUGGGAGGCCUGCUUCUUGCAGUUCCUUUUCUACGGCUGCUGGGAUUCAGAUUCUAGAAAACCUGUCUAAGUCUACUGGCAGCAUGGGAAAAUGGAAUUUUAAAAGUUGGAUUUUUUUUCUUUAAAAAUCAAGCAGUUUCUCCUUUUAGAUAAGCAGCCUUGGCUUUGCCAAACUUCCUGCUGCUGAGUAAAUAACCAACACCCGCUCCUCUCCUCAGCCCAGAUGAAGUGGCAGACUAUGCAAAUAGUGACCAAGGAGGUCAGGGCCCAGUUUCCUUUCCACAGGAAAGGGAGAGCAGGAAGAUUACUGAGAGCAAUAAAGCAAGCUUGGAGAUGUGCACUGUCUCGCUGAAUCCCCCCUCUCUCUGCUCCUAAAUAUAAACAACCCUUGCACAUCUGCUGUGAGGCACAAGAGGCCCUUCCACCUCCUUGGGGCCAGUUUUGAGUAAAUCCUUUUUCCUUUUUUAUUUUCUUAAACCAAAAUAAGUGAUUUCCUUUGUUUGAUGAGCAUCAAGCAAAUGAUCCUGAGCGCAUGGAGCAUCAUGGUCAGUAAUACGUCUUGGGGACCUGAGUGUAGGUAGGGGCAGGGGUGGGGUCUGUCAGGGGUGCUGGGCAUGUGACAGGUGGAUUCGCUGAGUCCCAGUAGGUCAUCACCUUACAGGAUAGAUCAGGUGCCUGGUACCCCACUGGAGAAGCCCUACGGGAGCCCUGUCUUUCCAAAUGUACUUUUACUGUAAAAGGAAGGAAAGCCAUCAACACUACUUUUCAUUCUAAAAAAAGAGCACUUCUGAUGCCUCCUUUGUUCCCCAAAGAUCACAGCAGAUAAAUAGAGCAAGUGUCUUGGUUUAACAACCUCCUCAUAAAAGAGGGAGCCUCUGAUGCAAUAUUUUUCUAGGUCAGGCAACCUGAAAAAGUUCAUAGUUGCUGAAGGAGGUGGAUGCUUUUUCUCUUGGCUCACAGCUGUCUCUCCACUGGCCAGGCGUUCCCAAAGGGAGUUGCCUUUCUUGAUCUCCAUGGGGGCAACUGCCCUAUCUAAAACUGGGAGCCUCUGCAUGAGGCUUCAUACGCAUGUUUUGCGCGUGCGUGCGUGUGUGUGUGUGUGUGUGUGUGUGUGUGUGUGUGUGUGCUGCAUGUCCCCCUCCAUCCCCUGCUCCAUCUGGACAAGGAUCUCAGAGCCUGGUACCUGGUCUGGAAAUAUUUACCAGUUGAGCAAAUGACUGAACAGCCUUAAUCGAGAGUCUCUUCCGCAGAUACUAGAGCUGAGCACUCAGUUCUUGAGCUCCUGUCUCUGAUACUGCAGCUCAGGGGCCAGCUCUGUCCUGCUGAUGUCUGACUGUGAAGUGGCACCACCCCUGCCCGCUGAGCACUUGGUCCUUGGGGGCUUGACUGUGCCACUGAGGUCUCUCGUGUCAGCCCCCACUCACAUGUGAGUCUGGGGACAGUGGAGUGUGUUUUCAGGAAGUCUCUCAUGCCUCAGGUGGAGGCACAUUUAAAUUGGGCACUUUGCCUUUUGUUUUUUCCUCUUUUCCAUAUUUUUGUUCUCCUACCCUGUAGUGAGUCACCAGAAAUCUUCCCUAGACUGUGACUUCCUUGCUGCUGGGGAGAGAAAGACUUUCACUUUCCUAUCUGUGCCUUUCACAACAAGCUUGUCUUUCCCAAUUUCUCAUAUUUCCCCCUCUGUUUCCCAAACCUAUUGCUCUUAGCAUCAGAGAUCCUGCCUUCAAAUGCAUUCCUUCUUUGAAACUUGUAUUAAAAGGAAACAGAAAGUUCCAUCAAUGUGACAUAAUUUUUUUAAAAAAUACCCAAAUGCUGGUAUUCAAUGACGUAUUUAUUUAUUGAGUUUUUAUUGUUUACAUUGUAUGUAUUUUUAUUUUUUGCAAUGCUAGAGAUAGAACACGGAGGCUCCUGCAUGUUAGAAAUCAUCCUAUCUCAGUCAUAUCCCAGCUCUUUAUUUUUAUUUUUAAAGAUUACAUUUGUAGCCUGGGGAUUUUGCUCAGCUGCCUACCACCUACCUGACCAGUGUUGAGGUCCUGAGUUCGAUCCCUAGUACCAAAAAAAAAAAAAAAGUUACAUUUGCAUAAUUUGGCCUUCAAAAGGCACAAAAGAACAAACAAUGGCAAAUCCCUCCUCCCACAGCUGAGCCCAGCCCCCUUCCCCAGGUGAUCCUGCUUCCUUUCUGCACUUAGCCCUGCUGGGGGCUUUUUGCACAGACUUUCAGUAGCGUGCUACUGCUACUGUGCCAGCUUUUCUUUCCAUUUAGCCAUGAUUCCUGGCAUCUGUCUGAGUAGAAUCUGGUCAUUUUACAGGAGGGGAAAUGGAGGCCCAGAAAAAUCUAGAACUCAGUCUUGCCUCACAGUGCAGGGCUCAUUCUUAAUGCAGGAGAGUGAAAUGGGAAUUCAUAGGGAUAAACUCACUCAGAUGUCUGCUUUAAAAAGCUCAUUUGCUGAAUGAAAAAGAGCUCAGACUAAGAUUUAUAUAUUUGUUUGCCUUAGGUGCAGUUGUCUUCUCAGGAGGAGAGGAAGUGGCACUUCCUAAGUGUACCCUGAGAAACGCAUCCCGUGCCCAGGGUCAUCUGGGAGUCUGCUACGCCCCUUGCCUGUGGCUGCCUUCCAGCCCCACUGGGCAGGUCUAAUGAGCCUCUUCUAGCUGUGUGGCCCUCUGUGUGCUCCUCUGAGCUUCCAGGUCCGCCCUCUCUAAGGAGCUCUCUGCUUAACCUGCUGAGAUUUGCUGUAUCUUCUCCUAGGUUCCUUCAAUGCAUAUUUGAAACCACCCUUUCCUUGCUCCCCUACUUCCUCCUUAUGCCUGGAAGUUGUCUUUGAUUAAUGGGGCGCCUGUGAUGUCCCAAGUCUGUGCCAAAUUCUUCUCUUGCAUUGAUGUCUCAAGGCUGAAAGAUGGAGAAAUUUGAACCCAUUUUACAGAUAAGGAAACUGAUGCUUAGAGAGGUUAAAACAAUCAUCAUCGGUGCACAGAUCACUGGUAAUAGGGGAAGCACUCCAAUUUAGUUCUGGUAGCUGCAGACCUAUUGUGAUUCACUGUCUCCUUGGGCCUUGAUAUUAAUGUAGGAGCUCAAACAACCUUGUAUUCAUUGCAGAUAGAAGCUUGGCUCAGAGAGGGAAAGCCCAAAUGUACGCAGCCACUGGCGUUGAGUGAAAACUAAAACAUUCCUUUUGUAUAUUUGUCACCUGCUGAAUGCUAGGACCUACUUGAAGAUGAACAGAACAGCAAACAAUAGUUUGCUCCCAGGUUGCUAGACAUCAUCUGUACAACAGUUUGAAUAAACCGCCAGACCUAACCUA